RNAcentral lists this ribosomal RNA (746 nucleotides) under uncultured bacterium. RNAcentral describes it as "bacterial SSU rRNA". It matches the Rfam family "Bacterial small subunit ribosomal RNA", at positions 54 to 798 of the family's 1533-position model. The record is from RNAcentral.
CAUGCAAGUCGAACGAAGCAUUUGCGACAGAUUUUUUCGGAAUGAAGUUGCUUAUGACUGAGUGGCGGACGGGUGAGUAACGCGUGGGUAACCUGCCUUGUACUGGGGGAUAGCAGCUGGAAACGGCUGGUAAUACCGCAUAAGCGCACAAUGUUGCAUGACAUGGUGUGAAAAACUCCGGUGGUAUAAGAUGGACCCGCGUCUGAUUAGCUAGCUGGUGAGAUAACAGCCCACCAAGGCGACGAUCAGUAGCCGACCUGAGAGGGUGACCGGCCACAUUGGGACUGAGACACGGCCCAGACUCCUACGGGAGGCAGCAGUGGGGAAUAUUGCACAAUGGAGGAAACUCUGAUGCAGCGACGCCGCGUGAGUGAAGAAGUAAUUCGUUAUGUAAAGCUCUAUCAGCAGGGAAGAUAGUGACGGUACCUGACUAAGAAGCUCCGGCUAAAUACGUGCCAGCAGCCGCGGUAAUACGUAUGGAGCAAGCGUUAUCCGGAUUUACUGGGUGUAAAGGGAGUGUAGGUGGCCAUGCAAGUCAGAAGUGAAAAUCCGGGGCUCAACCCCGGAACUGCUUUUGAAACUGUAAGGCUAGAGUGCAGGAGGGGUGAGUGGAAUUCCUAGUGUAGCGGUGAAAUGCGUAGAUAUUAGGAGGAACACCAGUGGCGAAGGCGGCUCACUGGACUGUAACUGACACUGAGGCUCGAAAGCGUGGGGAGCAAACAGGAUUAGAUACCCUGGUAGUCCAC